GACCACGUAGCUCAGUUGGCAGAGCAUUGGGCUAGCAUUCCAAAGGUCGCAGGUUCGAUUCCCACCGUGGCCG
Molecule: transfer RNA, 73 nt
Filed under: Paramuricea clavata
Lineage: Eukaryota; Metazoa; Cnidaria; Anthozoa; Malacalcyonacea; Plexauridae
Rfam family: tRNA
About the family: Transfer RNA (tRNA) molecules are approximately 80 nucleotides in length. Their secondary structure includes four short double-helical elements and three loops (D, anti-codon, and T loops).
Source: Rfam by way of RNAcentral